CCCGCCGGCGACCGGCGCACGGGUGAGUAACACGUAUGAAACCGUGCCCGUAGCAGGGGGAUAAGCGGAAGAAAUUCCGUCUAAUACCGCGUAACAACCCGAGGAGGCAUCUCCUCGGGUUUAAAGGAAGCGAUUCCGGCUACGGAUGGUCAUGCGUCGCAUCAGCUAGUUGGCGGGGUAACGGCCCACCAAGGCGACGAUGCGUAGGGGUUCUGAGAGGAAGGUCCCCCACACUGGUACUGAGACACGGACCAGACUCCUACGGAAGGCAGCAG
This 275-nucleotide ribosomal RNA is filed under the name uncultured bacterium. Its description in RNAcentral is "partial 16S ribosomal RNA". It matches the Rfam family "Bacterial small subunit ribosomal RNA", at positions 84 to 354 of the family's 1533-position model. The record is from RNAcentral.